Molecule: ribosomal RNA, 415 nt
Filed under: Bacillus sp. (in: firmicutes)
Lineage: Bacteria; Bacillati; Bacillota; Bacilli; Caryophanales; Bacillaceae
Description: bacterial SSU rRNA
Rfam family: Bacterial small subunit ribosomal RNA
Source: RNAcentral
ACCACGCCGCGUGAGCGAUGAAGGCCUUCGGGUCGUAAAGCUCUGUUGUUAGCGGAAGAACAAGUGCUAGUUGAAUAAGCUGGCACCUUGACGGUACCUAACCAGAAAGCCACGGCUAACUACGUGCCAGCAGCCGCGGUAAUACGUAGGUGGCAAGCGUUAUCCGGAAUUAUUGGGCGUAAAGCGCGCGCAGGUGGUUUCUUAAGUCUGAUGUGAAAGCCCACGGCUCAACCGUGGAGGGUCAUUGGAAACUGGGAGACUUGAGUGCAGAAGAGGAAAGUGGAAUUCCAUGUGUAGCGGUGAAAUGCGUAGAGAUAUGGAGGAACACCAGUGGCGAAGGCGACUUUCUGGUCUGUAACUGACACUGAGGCGCGAAAGCGUGGGGAGCAAACAGGAUUAGAUACCCCCGGUAGAA